RNAcentral lists this ribosomal RNA (686 nucleotides) under uncultured bacterium. RNAcentral describes it as "bacterial SSU rRNA". It matches the Rfam family "Bacterial small subunit ribosomal RNA", at positions 56 to 756 of the family's 1533-position model. The record is from RNAcentral.
UGCAGUCGACGGUGAAGCGGAGCUUGCUCUGCUGGAUCAGUGGCGAACGGGUGAGUAACACGUGAGCAAUCUGCCCUUGACUCUGGGAUAAGCGCUGGAAACGGCGUCUAAUACCGGAUACGAGCUGCGAAGGCAUCUUCAGCAGCUGGAAAGAACUUCGGUCAAGGAUGAGCUCGCGGCCUAUCAGCUUGUUGGUGAGGUAACGGCUCACCAAGGCGUCGACGGGUAGCCGGCCUGAGAGGGUGACCGGCCACACUGGGACUGAGACACGGCCCAGACUCCUACGGGAGGCAGCAGUGGGGAAUAUUGCACAAUGGGCGCAAGCCUGAUGCAGCAACGCCGCGUGAGGGACGACGGCCUUCGGGUUGUAAACCUCUUUUAGCAGGGAAGAAGCGAAAGUGACGGUACCUGCAGAAAAAGCACCGGCUAACUACGUGCCAGCAGCCGCGGUAAUACGUAGGGUGCAAGCGUUAUCCGGAAUUAUUGGGCGUAAAGAGCUCGUAGGCGGUUUGUCGCGUCUGCUGUGAAAACUGGAGGCUCAACCUCCAGCCUGCAGUGGGUACGGGCAGACUAGAGUGCGGUAGGGGAGAUUGGAAUUCCUGGUGUAGCGGUGGAAUGCGCAGAUAUCAGGAGGAACACCGAUGGCGAAGGCAGAUCUCUGGGCCGUAACUGACGCUGAGGAGCGA